RNAcentral lists this ribosomal RNA (370 nucleotides) under uncultured eukaryote. RNAcentral describes it as "partial 18S ribosomal RNA". It matches the Rfam family "Eukaryotic small subunit ribosomal RNA", at positions 592 to 976 of the family's 1831-position model. The record is from RNAcentral.
CAAUAGCGUAUAUUAAAGUUGUUGCAGUUAAAAAGCUCGUAGUUGGACCUUGGACCUGGACAGGCGGUCCGCCUCACGGCGUGUACUGUCUUGCUGGGUCUUUCCUCUUGGUGAUCUGUUGUUUCGGCAGCAGGGAACCAGGACUUUUACUUUGAAAAAAUUAGAGUGUUCAAAGCAGGCUCGACGCCGGAAUAUAUUAGCAUGGAAUAAUAAAAUAGGACGUGCGGUUCUAUUUUGUUGGUUUUUGGAAUCGCCGUAAUGAUUAAUAGGGACAGUCGGGGGCAUUAGUACUCGCAUGCUAGAGGUGAAAUUCUUGGAUUUUGUGAAGACUAACUUCUGCGAAAGCAUUUGCCAAGGAUGUUUUCAUUAA